Molecule: long non-coding RNA, 1185 nt
Organism: Mya arenaria
Lineage: Eukaryota; Metazoa; Mollusca; Bivalvia; Myida; Myidae
Exons: 3
Source: RefSeq, a predicted model, not a curated record
UGUAUGCCGGUACAUCAGUUGAAGUAGUUCGUAAAUUUUUGAAUUAUAUCAUUUAUGAAAUAUAGUGUUUUAGAAUUGUUUUUAUUGAUCCAAGUUUAAAUUGAUUGUCAGUGAAGUAUAUUAUUGCAAACACAAUUAAGAUUUCCAAGAGUUAAGUCAUAAAGUUUAACUGCUAAAUAAAAUUAAUACGCGAUCUACUUGCAGCGGACUUAAACGUUCCUCUUUUUAAGUAUGUAAACCGUCCAAACACAUCCGAGGUUGUUUUCGAAAAAAAUGGCCGAGGAGUUCCGAAUGCUGUGGGAUCAUGACUGAUUUUCCAGAUGACUAGUUUUGUGAUAUUUGAACAGUUUUGAAAGUGAAUGGAAGCAGGCUUGUUUGAUUUGUAUGGUUUUACCUUAUGCUUCUAUCCAUAUUUGAGUUGUCCUAACAGCAUCACAGCUUUGACCAUGUUGAUGGCACAGACAGUGUAGAGGCGUGACAGUGAUGUGAGCGUUGAGUGAGCGUUCAUACAAUUGGAUCCAUAAUCCUUAUGUUGAUUAUUCACAUAUAUACGUGUAUACCAUCAGAUGAAUACAGAGUGAUAUAGAGACAGAGUUGUUUAUCUAAUUAUUGUACACCAUCAUAAUAAACAGACAAAGACUAGAACCCCUCCCUUAACUCGAGGACAUUCCCUUAUCGAUAUAUAUAUAUAUAUAUAUUGACAUUAUAAGCCGGAAAUCCAUGGGUUACCUGUGGACAAAAGACGAAGCGCUGAUGUUGGAGUACGGGCGUAAGGAGAUGGCACUCCUCGUGAGCCAGUACCGUCAGUCCAUCUCAUGUACAGACUGCAGUGUAGGACCAGUACAUGCUCCCCAAGCAUACCGCGGUGAAAGACGAGACCUUGAUGAGGUUGACUGUGACAGGUGUUUCGAAACGGGUUGUUGGUUCGUUCAGGGCUUGCCGUCAUCGUAUCGUCGGAUAACUGAUCCCGGCAUUUACUUCAGACUGUGAACGCGGCUUCUCAACGUUGAACCGGGUGAAAACGAACCAGCGGAGUCGCCUAGGAAACGACACCCUGAACUCUCUACUAAUGAUUUACAUGGAAGGUGCUAACGUGGAGCAGUUUUAUGACCUGGCCGUGCCGCGGUGGGCACGAGGCGAGAAUCGGCGACUUUCUGUGUAACCAAGGCAUGUUUUUACUGAUAA